AGAGUUUGAUCAUGGCUCAGGAUGAACGCUGGCGGCGUGCCUAAUACAUGCAAGUCGAGCGAACCACUUCGGUGGGAAGCGGCGAACGGGUGAGUAACACGUAGGUGAUCUGCCCAUCAGACGGGGACAACGAUUGGAAACGAUCGCUAAUACCGGAUAGGACGAAAGUUUAAAGAUGCUCCUGGCAUCACUGAUGGAUGAGCCUGCGGCGCAUUAGCUAGUUGGUGGGGUAAAGGCCUACCAAGGCGACGAUGCGUAGCCGACCUGAGAGGGUGAACGGCCACACUGGGACUGAGACACGGCCCAGACUCCUACGGGAGGCAGCAGUAGGGAAUCUUCGGCAAUGGGCGAAAGCCUGACCGAGCAACGCCGCGUGAAUGAAGAAGGCCUUCGGGUUGUAAAAUUCUGUUAUAAGGGAAGAAAGGUGAUAGGAGGAAAUGACUAUCAAUUGACGGUACCUUAUGAGAAAGCCACGGCUAACUACGUGCCAGCAGCCGCGGUAAUACGUAGGUGGCAAGCGUUAUCCGGAAUUAUUGGGCGUAAAGAGCGCGCAGGUGGUUAAUUAAGUCUGAUGUGAAAGCCCACGGCUUAACCGUGGAGGGUCAUUGGAAACUGGUUGACUUGA
Molecule: ribosomal RNA, 625 nt
Filed under: uncultured bacterium
Lineage: Bacteria
Description: bacterial SSU rRNA
Rfam family: Bacterial small subunit ribosomal RNA
Source: RNAcentral